UACGACUACAUAUCAGGCAUAUCAAUAAGCGGAGGAAAAGAAACUAACAAGGAUUCCCUUAGUAACGGCGAGUGAAGCGGGAAGAGCUCAAAUUUGAAAUCUUCAAGGUUCUACCUUGACGAAUUGUAGUUUAAAGAAGUGUUUUCUGUUAGAUGAGUAGCAAAAGUUCCUUGGAAUGGGACAUCAUAGAGGGUGAGAAUCCCGUAUUUGGUUAUUCAUUCUAGCUUUGUGAUACACUUUCAAAGAGUCGGAUUGUUUGGGAAUGCAGUCCAAAAUGGGUGGUAAAUUUCAUCUAAAGCUAAAUAUUGGCGAGAGACCGAUAGCGAACAAGUACCGUGAGGGAAAGAUGAAAAGAACUUUGAAAAGAGAGUUAAACAGUACGUGAAAUUGUCAAAAGGGAAGCGUUUGACACCAGUGUUGUUUUUUCCGAAAAUCAAUUACGAAUGGCUUGAUUUUGUGUUGUAUUGACCUUAUCAGCUUUCUGCACUUUUUUCGAGUCUUUCUUAAUGCACUUUUCGGUUAACAAGUCAACAUCAAUUUCUUUUGUUGUAAAAGAGUAUUCGGAAGGUGGCUUUCUUUUCGGAGAAAGUGUUUAUAGCCCUAUACUUCUACAAUCGGAGAGAUUGAGGUCUGCAGCGUAGAUCCUUCGGGGUUAGAUACACUUGUGCUAAGUUGUAGCUUUUCAUAGACAACUUGUUGACUAUGUUUAGUCAUGCGGCUUACUCGCUUGUGCUAUUUUACCUACGCUUAGGAUGUUGAGUAGCGACAUACGCAC
This 775-nucleotide ribosomal RNA is filed under the name uncultured Neocallimastigales. RNAcentral describes it as "partial large subunit ribosomal RNA". It matches the Rfam family "Eukaryotic large subunit ribosomal RNA", at positions 24 to 649 of the family's 3401-position model. Lineage: Eukaryota; Fungi; Neocallimastigomycota; Neocallimastigomycetes; Neocallimastigales. The record is from RNAcentral.